Molecule: small RNA, 758 nt
Filed under: Pongo abelii (Sumatran orangutan)
Lineage: Eukaryota; Metazoa; Chordata; Mammalia; Primates; Hominidae
Description: retained intron
Source: RNAcentral
ACCUUUUCUGAACAGUAUUUGUGUACCACCAUGAAACAGAUUUCAUGCUGAUGUGGAGUCUCCCACAGUUUUGAGUGAAAACCCAGAACCUGAUCUGGUUUGGAGUCAGAGACAGCAUCAUCUUCCUCCCUGAAGAAGGGCCAUCUUGGACUCCCCAUCAUCCUUGAAAUUCGCUAGCUUUGUCCAUUGUCUUGCUUGUUCACUAAGAGUGUAAUAAAUGCUUGAGGUUUGUGAUUGAUUUUUAGAAAGGAAGAAAACCGUUUCUUUUGGCAGCUGAGAGGGGCCAUGUUGAAAUGAUUGAAAAACUUACCUUCCUAAACCUGCAUACUUCAGAAAAGGACAAGGAGGGAAACACUGCCUUGCACCUCGCUGCGAAGCAUGGUCACAGUCCUGCAGUGCAGGUGCUGCUAACCCAGUGGCAAGACAUAAAUGAGAUGAAUGAGCUCAGUAUCAGUAGUUUGCAGAUAGCAACCAGGAACGGCCAUGCAUCCCUUGUCAACUUUCUUCUCAGUGAGAACGUUGAUCUGCACCAGAAAGUGGAACCUAAGGAGUCCCCUCUUCAUUUAGCUGUUAUCAACAACCACAUCACGGUUGUAAACAGUUUAUUAAGUGCACAGCAUGAUAUUGACAUCUUAAAUCAGAAGCAGCAAACCCCUCUGCAUGUAGCUGCUGAUUGUGGAAAUGUGGAACUGGUGGAAACCCUGCUGAAGGCAGGCUGUGACUUGAAGGCUGUUGACAAGCAAGGAAAGACUGCCCUG